CUUUGACGCACAUUCGCGCCUCGGCCUUCCCGUGGCUUCGUCUGUGUGAGGUCGG
This 55-nucleotide ribosomal RNA is filed under the name Ixodes ovatus. RNAcentral describes it as "partial 5.8S ribosomal RNA". The record is from RNAcentral. Lineage: Eukaryota; Metazoa; Arthropoda; Arachnida; Ixodida; Ixodidae.